This 512-nucleotide ribosomal RNA is filed under the name Kodamaea ohmeri. RNAcentral's name for it is "partial large subunit ribosomal RNA". It matches the Rfam family "Eukaryotic large subunit ribosomal RNA", at positions 68 to 671 of the family's 3401-position model. The record is from RNAcentral. Lineage: Eukaryota; Fungi; Ascomycota; Pichiomycetes; Serinales; Debaryomycetaceae.
ACGGGGGUAUUGCGUCAGUAACGGCGAGUGAAGCGGCAAAAGCUCAAAUUUGAAAUCCCCCCGGGGAGUUGUAAUUUGAAGAUUGCGUCUUGGAGGCGACCGUGUCUAUGUUCCUUGGAACAGGACGUCACAGAGGGUGAGAAUCCCGUGCGGCACGGCCCCCGGCUCCUUAUAAGGCGCUCUCGACGAGUCGAGUUGUUUGGGAAUGCAGCUCAAAGUGGGUGGUAAAUUCCAUCUAAAGCUAAAUACAGGCGAGAGACCGAUAGCGAACAAGUACAGUGAUGGAAAGAUGAAAAGCACUUUGAAAAGAGAGUGAAACAGCACGUGAAAUUGUUGAAAGGGAAGGGCAUGCCGUCAGAUUGUCAGUGUGGGUAAGAAGCGGGGUACAAAGACUGUGGAACGUGGCCCUCGGGUGUUAUAGCCGCAGUUCAUGCCCCGUCUCUUUCCGAGGCCUGCUUUGAGGACACCGACGUAAUGACGGUACGCCGCCCGUCUUGAAMMACGGACMAAAA